AGAGAAUCAAGCUGUAAAAAAGUGGAAUGUGCUUAGAGGCAACCUAUAAAAUACUCAGAGGCAUUUUCUGAUUAGUCUUCUUGUUUUUAAUAGUGCUUACAGCUUGUUUGCUUGCUUUUCUUUCUUUCUUGCACCUGAAAGUGAGAUGGCAAGGAGAGUUCAUUUAGUGGUUCUUCUUUGGAAUGAAACAAACUUGUUUCCAGUAAAAGAACUCUGGUGGGUUUAUUGAGAGGUAGUGGUUUUUCUCCAGAAUCAAGAUCCCCGAAAACAUUAAAAACAUUAAAUACAAUUAUAUUACUGAUAAUGCCAUAUGCACUUUAGAUUUGGGACAGGGACCCAAGUGCAGUUGUAAGGUAUUUUUCAGCACAAGGACCCUGGCUGAGGGGCAAAUGAAGGCUGAAUCCACUGGAAUGUAUGCAGCCUGCUGAGGUGGGUCCUGGAGGAAAGGGGGAGAGUGGAGGAAAGGA
Molecule: long non-coding RNA, 467 nt
Organism: Phyllostomus discolor (pale spear-nosed bat)
Lineage: Eukaryota; Metazoa; Chordata; Mammalia; Chiroptera; Phyllostomidae
Exons: 3
Source: RefSeq, a predicted model, not a curated record